CGAAAGAUGGUGAACUAUGCCUGGCUAGGACGAAGUCAGAGGAAACUCUGAUGGAAGUCCGAAACGAUUCUGACGUGCAAAUCGAUCGUCAGAGCUGGGCAUAGGGGCGAAAGACUAAUCGAACUAUCUAGUAGCUGGUUCCCUCCGAAGUUUCCCUCAGGAUAGCUGGUACUCGAAAGAGUUAUAUCCGGUAAAGAGAAUGAUUAGAGGUUUUGGGGAUGAAAUGUCCUCAACCUAUUCUCAAACUUUAAAUGGAUAUCGUGGUCAAGCUUUCUUGAAAGAGAAGCUUUGACUCACAAUCACAUGAGUACUUAGUGGGCCAAUUUU
RNAcentral lists this ribosomal RNA (327 nucleotides) under Galathea strigosa. RNAcentral describes it as "partial large subunit ribosomal RNA". It matches the Rfam family "Eukaryotic large subunit ribosomal RNA", at positions 817 to 1138 of the family's 3401-position model. Lineage: Eukaryota; Metazoa; Arthropoda; Malacostraca; Decapoda; Galatheidae. The record is from RNAcentral.